RNAcentral lists this unclassified non-coding RNA (597 nucleotides) under Hevea brasiliensis (rubber tree). The record is from RNAcentral. Lineage: Eukaryota; Viridiplantae; Streptophyta; Magnoliopsida; Malpighiales; Euphorbiaceae.
GGCCUGUGGUAGGCCAUUUUCAAAGACCUUUCUGUUCAUCUGCAUAAAACUUUCAUUCCAUUCCUCUUAUGUUCUAAUAAUAAUAAUCUUCUUCUAUAUUCUGUCUUCUAGGCUAUGACCAAUGGGAGAUUUGUGAGUGUGAGGCACAGAGCUGUAACCAACUCUUACAACUCUAGAAUGUCAAUGGCAUAUUUUGCUGCACCACCUCUCGACGCCGAGAUCGCUGCACUACCGCACAUGGUCUCUGCCGCGAGGCCUACCUUGUACAGGCCAUUCACUUGGGCUGACUACAAGAAAGCUGCUUAUUCUCUACGUCUUGGAGAUGCCCGUCUUGAUCUAUUCAGGAAACAAGGAGACGAGCUUGCUUAAUGGCUUGUGGGUAGUUUCGAGUCUUUGAGAAAUAUAAAAAUAUGGAGGGUUUUAUGUCUUUUUUGUAAUCCUCAAGGGGAAUUUUGGUUUAUAUUCCAUAAUUGCUGCUUAUAGAAGGAAAUCAAAGGGAUUGGAAUUCAAAUUGGACUUGAAUUGAUAUCGAUCAAAAUACAAUUAAUUAAAAGUAGAUUUAAAUCAAAACUGAUCAAAUUGAAAUCAGAGAGGAAC